RNAcentral lists this ribosomal RNA (604 nucleotides) under Salmonella enterica. RNAcentral's name for it is "partial 23S ribosomal RNA". Lineage: Bacteria; Pseudomonadati; Pseudomonadota; Gammaproteobacteria; Enterobacterales; Enterobacteriaceae. The record is from RNAcentral.
UUAGUGGAAGCGUCUGGAAAGGCGCGCGAUACAGGGUGACAGCCCCGUACACAAAAGCGCAUGUGCUGUGAGCUCGAUGAGUAGGGCGGGACACGUGGUAUCCUGUCUGAAUAUGGGGGGACCAUCCUCCAAGGCUAAAUACUCCUGACUGACCGAUAGUGAACCAGUACCGUGAGGGAAAGGCGAAAAGAACCCCGGCGAGGGGAGUGAAAAAGAACCUGAAACCGUGUACGUACAAGCAGUGGGAGCACCCUUUUGGGUGUGACUGCGUACCUUUUGUAUAAUGGGUCAGCGACUUAUAUUCUGUAGCAAGGUUAACCGUAUAGGGGAGCCGGAGGGAAACCGAGUCUUAAYYGGGCGUUAAGUUGCAGGGUAUAGACCCGAAACCCGGUGAUCUAGCCAUGGGCAGGUUGAAGGUUGGGUAACACUAACUGGAGGACCGAACCGACUAAUGUUGAAAAAUUAGCGGAUGACCUGUGGCUGGGGGUGAAAGGCCAAUCAAACCGGGAGAUAGCUGGUUCUCCCCGAAAGCUAUUUAGGUAGCGCCUCGUGAAYUCAUCUCCGGGGGUAGAGCACUGUUUCGGCUAGGGGGCCAUCCCGGCUU